Molecule: ribosomal RNA, 253 nt
Filed under: uncultured bacterium
Lineage: Bacteria
Description: partial 16S ribosomal RNA
Rfam family: Bacterial small subunit ribosomal RNA
Source: RNAcentral
UACAGGGGGUGCAAACGUUGCUCGGAAUCAUUGGGCGUAAAGCGCACGUAGGCGGUUCGUUAUGUCGGAUGUGAAAGCCCUUGGCUUAACCGAGGAAGUGCAUCCGAAACUGGCGAGCUAGAGUACUAAAGAGGAUCGCGGAAUUCCCGGUGUAGAGGUGAAAUUCGUAGAUAUCGGGAGGAACACCGGUGGCGAAGGCGGCGAUCUGAGUAGAUACUGACGCUGAGGUGCGAAAGCGUGGGGAGCAAACAGG